GAUGCAGACUUGAAAAAACGAGCUCCAGUUUUCGGAUCUAAUCGAUGUUGAUUCCCAAUCAAACUCUUCUCUAAUCUUUACUCAAAUCGGUAUGAGUCUUUUAAGGGUUAUAAUAAGAAUUAGAAUUCAAUAGACGGUGGAUUAGGAGAAACAGUGAAAAUUUGGUCAAAGUAGGGCACGAAUUUCAAGCCAUGGAGAAGAACAGUGAUGCCAUAAGACUGAUUAAGAAGAAAUGGAGUUAGAAAGCGUCGUUGUUGAUUAAACCAAGGAGGAAUUGAUGGUAUGUUACUGCAAUUUUAUUUGUGGUUGAAUUGAGAUGUACCAGGAGUUGUUGCAGAUAUUGUACUAGAAUUGAACAUGAUCCGAGGAGAUUUAUUCUUAUCAAGUUUGGUUACUAAUUCUUACUUUUUCCAUGGCUCCUGCUAGUGAUUUUGUUUACUAAUUCUUACCUUUUCCAUUUAAUAUAUUUUUGGUGAUUUUUUUUA
This is a long non-coding RNA of Papaver somniferum (opium poppy), 485 nucleotides long. RefSeq lists it as uncharacterized. The transcript has 2 exons. Lineage: Eukaryota; Viridiplantae; Streptophyta; Magnoliopsida; Ranunculales; Papaveraceae. The record is from RefSeq and is a predicted model, not a curated record.